This 131-nucleotide non-coding RNA is filed under the name unclassified sequences. Its description in RNAcentral is "skipping-rope RNA". It matches the Rfam family "skipping-rope RNA". From Rfam's summary of the family: Firmicutes, Fusobacteria, AlphaProteobacteria, Spirochaetes. Downstream gene The record is from Rfam by way of RNAcentral.
GGCUCUCAGAGGUGGGAACGGCCUCCCCACACACCACCGGCGCUGUGGCGCAGGUGGUACAGUAGCUCUGACAGAGUACAGUUGCUCUGGCAGAGUGAAGAGAUCCGGGCGUGGGCACCCCGGCUAGAGCC